AACCUCCGCAAUGUGAGAAAUCGCGACGGGGGGAUCCCAAGUGCCAUUCUUAACGGGAUGGCUUUUCAUUAGUGUAAAGAGCUUUUGGAAUAAGAGCUGGGCAAGACCGGUGCCAGCCGCCGCGGUAACACCGGCAGCUCUAGUGGUAGCAAUUUUUAUUGGGCCUAAAGCGUCCGUAGCCGGUUUAAUAAGUCUCUGGUGAAAUCCUGUAGCUUAACUGUGGGAAUUGCUGGAGAUACUAUUAGACUUGAGAUCGGGAGAGGUUAGAGGUACUCCCAGGGUAGAGGUGAAAUUCUGUAAUCCUGGGAGGACCGCCUGUUGCGAAGGCGUCUAACUGGAACGAUUCUGACGGUGAGGGACGAAAGUUAGGGGCGCGAACCGGAUUAGAUACCCGGGUAGUCCUAACUGUAAACGAUGCGGACUUGGUGUUGGGGUGGCUUUGAGCUGCUCCAGUGCCGAAGGGAGCUGUUAAGUCCGCCGCCUGGGAAGUACGGUCGCAAGACUGAAACUUAAAGGAAUU
RNAcentral lists this ribosomal RNA (520 nucleotides) under uncultured bacterium. RNAcentral describes it as "bacterial SSU rRNA". It matches the Rfam family "Archaeal small subunit ribosomal RNA", at positions 345 to 866 of the family's 1478-position model. The record is from RNAcentral.